UAAAAAACCAUGACAGGGACAGUAGCAGUAUGAAAUCUUUUAAAGCGAGCCGGAGUUGGUGCGAGUCCGGCAAAGAAGCAAACUUGCGAAAAUCACCCUCGAGUUUUUUUGCUGAACCUAUAGAAUCAGUAAGCAAAAACGCGUUAUUCACGUUACGAAUCUCAAAGAGGAUAAGCAGUUUUUUAGUUUAUCUAAAAGGGUGGUACCGCGAGAAACCUUCUCGUCCCUUCU
This 231-nucleotide non-coding RNA is filed under the name Metabacillus indicus. RNAcentral's name for it is "Bacillus cibi T-box sequence". It matches the Rfam family "T-box leader". Rfam says of the family: Uncharged tRNA acts as the effector for transcription antitermination of genes in the T-box leader family. T-boxes are found upstream of many aminoacyl-tRNA synthetase genes and some amino acid biosynthetic genes usually in Gram-positive bacteria. Lineage: Bacteria; Bacillati; Bacillota; Bacilli; Caryophanales; Bacillaceae. The record is from RNAcentral.